Molecule: long non-coding RNA, 975 nt
Filed under: Anser brachyrhynchus (Pink-footed goose)
Lineage: Eukaryota; Metazoa; Chordata; Aves; Anseriformes; Anatidae
Description: lncRNA (ENSABRG00000006700.1)
Source: RNAcentral
CCACACCGACAGCACAUAGCGAAGUAGUUGCUUGCCUUCAGGCCUUUGUUCAAAGGGCUGUUAUGAGAACCAGCUAUGCUUGCCAUGAAUUUCACAGCAACCUCUAGAAAACCUGAGGGGAAACUACUGGCUGAAGUUAAGUGCAAAGGACGGCGUUGGCUGCACUUGUGUGCGCCAUGCCUAGCGGACACCGGCAGAGUAAGGACCCAUGCCUGGAAAACCCAAGUGUGCCCCACAACAGAAAGAGGCAGGGAUAACCAACACCUUCCUUGAUCCCGUGUCGGACAAGAUGUACCGGUCACUUAGCAACCUUCAUUUCUGUGAGACAUACAGAUGGUUAAACACCAGCAGCAGGCUUCAGACCAGGGACUAGAUUUUUCUUUCGCGUUAGUUCUGACACUUCAAAAGCUUCUUACAUUUUACAUAGCUUCUUGCAUUACAUCCUUGCAAGAGGGAGGAGAGUUAUCCAUCAAUUACUGUAAGGAAGGCAGGAGUAACCCAUUUGGUGACAAAUAUUCCUCUGCUUGUGGGCAAAAGAAUGUGAUGCAACAGCUGAAGAUACACCACUGACAACCUUAAGGAAGCCACGUUCACAGAACAAAAUGGAGAUUUGCUUAGUGAUGCAGAUUGCUCUUCUUAAAAGCAGUAACAGCAAUGCAAGACAAGUGCUGCUGCAAGGCAACAAAGUUCAGAGCAAGACUUACUUCCAGCAUCAGUACACUUGGAACCAGUCCUGGACUAGGAGCAGAGGAGAAUCCUGUAUGGGACCUUUUAUAUACUGGGAGAAGAGGCAAGUGGGGUCCCAGACUGUUCACACAUCAGUAUUUUUCACUGUUACUCUGCCCAAAUCUCUUGUGAAACUUUGCAAGCCAAAACUGGAGAUGUUUCAGAGGAUCUCAGGUACUAUAGGGAAGAGAGGAAUAUUCCUUACAAAUAUUUCUCAAAAGGAAUCCACAUUCAAUUGUUUCCCAUCCC